GAACGCUGGCGGCAGGCUUAACACAUGCAAGUCGAACGCACUCUUCGGAGUGAGUGGCAGACGGGUGAGUAACGCGUGGGAAUCUGCCCUUAGGUGGGGGAUAGCCCGGGGAAACUCGGAUUAAUACCGCAUAACAUCUACGGAUCAAAGGUGGCCUCUUCUUGAAAGCUAUCGCCGAAGGAUGAGCCCGCGUUAGAUUAGCUUGUUGGUGAGGUAAAGGCUCACCAAGGCGACGAUCUAUAGCUGGUCUGAGAGGAUGAUCAGCCACAUCGGGACUGAGAC
This 282-nucleotide ribosomal RNA is filed under the name Strombidium inclinatum. Its description in RNAcentral is "partial Bacterial small subunit ribosomal RNA". It matches the Rfam family "Bacterial small subunit ribosomal RNA", at positions 31 to 325 of the family's 1533-position model. The record is from RNAcentral. Lineage: Eukaryota; Ciliophora; Spirotrichea; Strombidiidae.